GGGUUGUGAGGUUAAGCGACUAAGCGUACACGGUGGAUGCCCUGGCAGUCAGAGGCGAUGAAGGACGUGCUAAUCUGCGAAAAGCGUCGGUAAGGUGAUAUGAACCGUUAUAACCGGCGAUGUCCGAAUGGGGAAACCCAGUGCAAUUCGUUGCACUAUCGUUAACUGAAUACAUAGGUUAACGAGGCGAACCGGGGGAACUGAAACAUCUAAGUACCCCGAGGAAAAGAAAUCAACCGAGAUUCCCCCAGUAGCGGCGAGCGAACGGGGAGCAGCCCAGAGUCUGAAUCAGCUUGUGUGUUAGUGGAACGGUCUGGAAAGUCCGACGGUACAGGGUGAUAGUCCCGUACACCAAAAUGCACAGGUUGUGAACUCGAAGAGUAGGGCGGGACACGUGGUAUCCUGUCUGAAUAUGGGGGGACCAUCCUCCAAGGCUAAAUACUCCUGACUGACCGAUAGUGAACCAGUACCGUGAGGGAAAGGCGAAAAGAACCCCGGCGAGGGGAGUGAAAAAGAACCUGAAACCGUGUACGUACAAGCAGUGGGAGCACCUUCGGGUGUGACUGCGUACCUUUUGUAUAAUGGGUCAGCGACUUAUAUUCUGUAGCAAGGUUAACCGUAUAGGGGAGCCGCAGGGAAACCGAGUCUUAACUGGGCGUUAAGUUGCAGGGUAUAGACCCGAAACCCGGUGAUCUAGCCAUGGGCAGGUUGAAGGUUGGGUAACACUAACUGGAGGACCGAACCGACUAAUGUUGAAAAAUUAGCGGAUGACUUGUGGCUGGGGGUGAAAGGCCAAUCAAACCGGGAGAUAGCUGGUUCUCCCCGAAAGCUAUUUAGGUAGCGCCUCGUGAAUUCAUCUUCGGGGGUAGAGCACUGUUUCGGCUAGGGGGUCAUCCCGACUUACCAACCCGAUGCAAACUACGAAUACCGAAGAAUGUUAUCACGGGAGACACACGGCGGGUGCUAACGUCCGUCGUGAAGAGGGAAACAACCCAGACCGCCAGCUAAGGUCCCAAAGUCAUGGUUAAGUGGGAAACGAUGUGGGAAGGCACAGACAGCCAGGAUGUUGGCUUAGAAGCAGCCAUCAUUUAAAGAAAGCGUAAUAGCUCACUGGUCGAGUCGGCCUGCGCGGAAGAUGUAACGGGGCUAAACCAUGCACCGAAGCUGCGGCAGCGACACUAUGUGUUGUUGGGUAGGGGAGCGUUCUGUAAGCCUGCGAAGGUGACCUGUGAGGGUUGCUGGAGGUAUCAGAAGUGCGAAUGCUGACAUAAGUAACGAUAAAGCGGGUGAAAAGCCCGCUCGCCGGAAGACCAAGGGUUCCUGUCCAACGUUAAUCGGGGCAGGGUGAGUCGACCCCUAAGGCGAGGCCGAAAGGCGUAGUCGAUGGGAAACAGGUUAAUAUUCCUGUACUUGGUGUUACUGCGAAGGGGGGACGGAGAAGGCUAUGUUAGCCGGGCGACGGUUGUCCCGGUUUAAGCAUGUAGGCUGGUUAUCCAGGCAAAUCCGGAUAAUCAAGGCUGAGGUGUGAUGACGAGGCACUACGGUGCUGAAGUAACAAAUGCCCUGCUUCCAGGAAAAGCCUCUAAGCAUCAGGUAACAUUAAAUCGUACCCCAAACCGACACAGGUGGUCAGGUAGAGAAUACCAAGGCGCUUGAGAGAACUCGGGUGAAGGAACUAGGCAAAAUGGUGCCGUAACUUCGGGAGAAGGCACGCUGGUGUGUAGGUGAAGUCCCUGCGGAUGGAGCUGAGACCAGUCGAAGAUACCAGCUGGCUGCAACUGUUUAUUAAAAACACAGCACUGUGCAAACACGAAAGUGGACGUAUACGGUGUGACGCCUGCCCGGUGCCGGAAGGUUAAUUGAUGGGGUUAUCCGUAAGGAGAAGCUCUUGAUCGAAGCCCCGGUAAACGGCGGCCGUAACUAUAACGGUCCUAAGGUAGCGAAAUUCCUUGUCGGGUAAGUUCCGACCUGCACGAAUGGCGUAAUGAUGGCCAGGCUGUCUCCACCCGAGACUCAGUGAAAUUGAACUCGCUGUGAAGAUGCAGUGUACCCGCGGCAAGACGGAAAGACCCCGUGAACCUUUACUAUAGCUUGACACUGAACAUUGAGCCUUGAUGUGUAGGAUAGGUGGGAGGCUUUGAAGCGUGGACGCCAGUCUGCGUGGAGCCAACCUUGAAAUACCACCCUUUAAUGUUUGAUGUUCUAACGUUGGCCCCUUACCGGGGUUGCGGACAGUGUCUGGUGGGUAGUUUGACUGGGGCGGUCUCCUCCCAAAGCGUAACGGAGGAGCACGAAGGUUAGCUAAUCCUGGUCGGACAUCAGGAGGUUAGUGCAAUGGCAUAAGCUAGCUUGACUGCGAGCGUGACGGCGCGAGCAGGUGCGAAAGCAGGUCAUAGUGAUCCGGUGGUUCUGAAUGGAAGGGCCAUCGCUCAACGGAUAAAAGGUACUCCGGGGAUAACAGGCUGAUACCGCCCAAGAGUUCAUAUCGACGGCGGUGUUUGGCACCUCGAUGUCGGCUCAUCACAUCCUGGGGCUGAAGUAGGUCCCAAGGGUAUGGCUGUUCGCCAUUUAAAGUGGUACGCGAGCUGGGUUUAGAACGUCGUGAGACAGUUCGGUCCCUAUCUGCCGUGGGCGCUGGAGAAUUGAGGGGGGCUGCUCCUAGUACGAGAGGACCGGAGUGGACGCAUCACUGGUGUUCGGGUUGUCAUGCCAAUGGCACUGCCCGGUAGCUAAAUGCGGAAGAGAUAAGUGCUGAAAGCAUCUAAGCACGAAACUUGCCCCGAGAUGAGUUCUCCCUGAGACUUUAAGUCUCCUGAAGGAACGUUAAAGACGAUGACGUUGAUAGGCCGGGUGUGUAAGCGCAGCGAUGCGUUGAGCUAACCGGUACUAAUGAACCGUGAGGCUUAACCUUACAACGCCGAAG
This 2923-nucleotide ribosomal RNA is filed under the name Klebsiella pneumoniae. Its description in RNAcentral is "23S ribosomal RNA". It matches the Rfam family "Bacterial large subunit ribosomal RNA". The record is from RNAcentral. Lineage: Bacteria; Pseudomonadati; Pseudomonadota; Gammaproteobacteria; Enterobacterales; Enterobacteriaceae.